ACAGGAGAAUGGAAGACGUAGGACACAUGCAGUGGGACUCGGAGGGUCACAAAGGAUUGGAUGAGAUUCAGCACCUGUGGUGAAAACAGCAUAAUUAUGCUCCAAACGGAGAUUCGCUCUUGGGACUCCCCAAGACGAGACGAAGCUCUUCCUCCUCCUCGUGUUCCGUGUCAUCAACCAGCACAAGUAAACAAGGGUCAUUGGCGUGAUGGCCCUCAGCUGAAUCUCCCAUCUUUUAAAUUAUGGGACAAUAGGAGCAAAUCAUCCACUGAAACAAUUAAAUUCCCAACUUUCAGUGGCACCACUGGUAUCAUAACAAUCUUAAUAGAAAUGUGCAUCAUGUAAUGAGCCUUGAGUCCUGAGAAGUGACCUGACCUGAUGCUGGUAUAAUGAGGAGCUGGAUAAUGUUCCAUCUCACUCAACAUGAGCUAAAUCUGCAACCAAAUCCCACUAAUGGAGUCCUUUAUAUAUGAAUGCUGACAUGUUUUAUAUAUGAAGUCAAGUCGUGAAUUGUGGUCUGCUUGUGUUAUCUUUCUAUAACAUGUAUUAACUCAAGCUGAUUAAAACUGUAUGACACUCUGACUUGAAAGAUGUCAUGAUGAGAACUGAUAAAAAUA
Long non-coding RNA from Gambusia affinis (western mosquitofish), 617 nucleotides. RefSeq lists it as uncharacterized. The transcript is spliced from 3 exons. NCBI's taxonomy places the organism in Eukaryota, Metazoa, Chordata, Actinopteri, Cyprinodontiformes, Poeciliidae. The record is from RefSeq and is a predicted model, not a curated record.